This 88-nucleotide microRNA precursor is filed under the name Vicugna pacos (alpaca). RNAcentral describes it as "miRNA (ENSVPAG00000016075.1)". Lineage: Eukaryota; Metazoa; Chordata; Mammalia; Artiodactyla; Camelidae. The record is from RNAcentral.
GGUGUGGAUGGAGUGGAGUGGAGUGGAGUGGCGUGGAGAUGGAAGCCGGGAGAAUCUGUCCUGUGAUGAAGUGGUCUCCGAGCCACUU